AGUGAACGCUGGCGGUAGGCCUAACACAUGCAAGUCGAACGGCAGCACAGUAAGAGCUUGCUCUUACGGGUGGCGAGUGGCGGACGGGUGAGGAAUACAUCGGAAUCUACUUUUUCGUGGGGGAUAACGUAGGGAAACUUACGCUAAUACCGCAUACGACCUACGGGUGAAAGCAGGGGAUCUUCGGACCUUGCGCGAUUGAAUGAGCCGAUGUCGGAUUAGCUAGUUGGCGGGGUAAAGGCCCACCAAGGCGACGAUCCGUAGCUGGUCUGAGAGGAUGAACAACCACCAGGGAAAUGAAACACGGGCCAGGCCCCAGAGGGAGGGAGCAGGGGGGAAAUUGGGAAAAUGGGGCCAAGCUUGGCCCCACCCUUCCGGGGGGGAGAAAAGGGCCGUGGGGUUUGAAAGCCCUUUUUUUGGGAAAAAAAAAGAAGGAGUUUAAUCCCCCGUUGUCCGGAGGUACCCAAAAAAAAAACACCGGCUAACUUUGGGC
Molecule: ribosomal RNA, 493 nt
Filed under: uncultured bacterium
Lineage: Bacteria
Description: partial 16S ribosomal RNA
Rfam family: Bacterial small subunit ribosomal RNA
Source: RNAcentral